Molecule: ribosomal RNA, 426 nt
Filed under: uncultured bacterium
Lineage: Bacteria
Description: bacterial SSU rRNA
Rfam family: Bacterial small subunit ribosomal RNA
Source: RNAcentral
GAUGAACGCUGGCGGCGCGCCUAACACAUGCAAGUCGAACGGCACCCCUCUCCGGAGGGAAGCGAGUGGCGAACGGCUGAGUAACACGUGGAGAACCUGCCCCCUCCCCCGGGAUAGCCGCCCGAAAGGACGGGUAAUACCGGAUACCCCGGGGUGCCGCAUGGCACCCCGGCUAAAGCCCCGACGGGAGGGGAUGGCUCCGCGGCCCAUCAGGUAGACGGCGGGGUGACGGCCCACCGUGCCGACAACGGGUAGCCGGGCUGAGAGACCGACCGGCCAGAUUGGGACUGAGACACGGCCCAGACUCCUACGGGAGGCAGCAGUGGGGAAUCUUGCGCAAUGGGGGGAACCCUGACGCAGCGACGCCGCGUGCGGGACGGAGGCCUUCGGGUCGUAAACCGCUUUCAGCAGGGAAGAGUCAAGACU